AGCUUUUUGAAUCCGUGCAGAGAUUUCGUCAAACACCAACUCAUUAAGGUUGAUUAAACUUCCAAGAUAAGUGAAACU
Molecule: non-coding RNA, 78 nt
Organism: Schistosoma haematobium
Lineage: Eukaryota; Metazoa; Platyhelminthes; Trematoda; Strigeidida; Schistosomatidae
Source: Rfam